CACUGUAAAAAAAAAUAUAUAACACAAAAUCAAAGAUUAUUAUCCGAAAUUGUAGGUGAAAAGGAAUACGAUAGCUUUAAUACAACAGACUUUAAUCCUCUAGCACAGGAAGAAGAUAUAAAGCUGAAACUUAAUGUUUCAAAAGAUGAUAUAAAACUAGAAAAUGAUGUAGAACUAGAUGAUAGUGUAAAAUUAGAAAAUAAUGUAAAAUUAGCACUUGGUAUAAAUUUAGAAGAUGAUAUAAAAUUAAAAAAUAGUAUAAAAAUAGAAGAUGAUGUACAAUUAGAAAGUAAUGAAAAAUUAGAAGAUAAUAAAACAUUAGAAGAUAAUAAAACAUUAGAAGAUANNNNNNNNNNAGAUAAUAAAACAUUAGAAGAUAAUAAAACAUUAGAAGAUAAUAAAAAAUUAGAAGAUAAUAAAAAAUUAGAAGACGAUAUAAAAUUAGAAGAUAAUGUAAAAUUAGACGAUAGUAAAAAACUAAGAAAUGAUGUAGGACCAGAAAAAGAUAUAGCAUAUAAAAAUAAUUUAGUAUAUGAUGAUUUAGAACAUGAUGAUGAUUUAGAUUGUGAUGAUGAUUUAGAACAUGAUUAUUAUAAAAAAUAUGAUGAAGAUGUUAAACCAUAUGAUGAUAUAGAGCAUGAUAAUAAUUUAGAACAAAAUAAUGAAUAUGAUGAAAAUAUUAUAACAAAUUUAAGUAAUGUAAUUAAAAAUGAACAGAGAUCUAGAUUUAAUAAAUCAUAUAUACUCGAUCAAUUCAUUGAAAAUUUUGAUAUAUACGCAUAUAAUAGUAAAUCUAUACAUAGCGAUUUAGAUACACAUAAUAAUGCAAAUGAUGAUUCAUGUGUCCACAGUGAUGUAGCCACAUUAGGUGAUUCAAACGAUAUCGAUAACACUAAAGAAUUAAAUGAUUUUGACGAUUUUACUGAUGAAGUUAAAAGUGGUUAUAUUACUAGAUCAGAUGAAUCAGGGGGCUAUGUAGAUAGUGAAAUGUCAACAAGUGAUACACAAGAAAUAUUAAAUAAUGCAGUAUAUAAAGCAUGUGCUACAUGUAUUAAAAAUAUACCAGGUGCUAAAAAAAGAUAUAACAACUGGGAUUAUGACUCAGAUAAAGAUAAUGAAAAUGAAUUAAAAGUAAGAUCUAAAGUAUACAAGAAUUUUCAUAAAUCCAGAAGUUACGGUAAAUAUAACACUAAAAAUAAAAAUAAAUAUGACUAUGAUAAGCAUACUAAUGAUAAUCAGGAUCAGGUAAGAAUGAUUGAUUAUAAAAAAAAAAAUAAAACAAUAUGA
RNAcentral lists this long non-coding RNA (1287 nucleotides) under Piliocolobus tephrosceles (Ugandan red Colobus). RNAcentral's name for it is "lncRNA (ENSPTEG00000001939.1)". Lineage: Eukaryota; Metazoa; Chordata; Mammalia; Primates; Cercopithecidae. The record is from RNAcentral.